Molecule: ribosomal RNA, 431 nt
Filed under: uncultured Gammaproteobacteria bacterium
Lineage: Bacteria; Pseudomonadati; Pseudomonadota; Gammaproteobacteria
Description: bacterial SSU rRNA
Rfam family: Bacterial small subunit ribosomal RNA
Source: RNAcentral
UCCGCACGAGCGCACCCUUGUCAUUAGUUGCUACGAAAGGGCACUCUAAUGAGACUGCCGGUGACAAACCGGAGGAAGGUGGGGAUGACGUCAAGUCCUCAUGGCCCUUAUGGGUAGGGCUUCACACGUCAUACAAUGGUCGGUACAGAGGGUUGCCAAGCCGCGAGGUGGAGCCAAUCCCAGAAAACCGAUCGUAGUCCGGAUCGCAGUCUGCAACUCGACUGCGUGAAGUCGGAAUCGCUAGUAAUCGCGGAUCAGAAUGCCGCGGUGAAUACGUUCCCGGGUCUUGUACACACCGCCCGUCACACCAUGGGAGUGGGUUCUACCAGAAGUGGCUAGUCUAACCGCAAGGAGGACGGUCACCACGGUAGGAUUCAUGACUGGGGUGAAGUCGUAACAAGGUAGCCGUAUCGGAAGGUGCGGCUGGAUCA